RNAcentral lists this ribosomal RNA (115 nucleotides) under Parasutterella excrementihominis. The record is from RNAcentral. Lineage: Bacteria; Pseudomonadati; Pseudomonadota; Betaproteobacteria; Burkholderiales; Sutterellaceae.
CUUGGCGACCAUAGCAUUGUGGACCCACCUGACUCCAUGCCGAACUCAGUAGUGAAACACAAUAGCGCCGAUGGUAGUGUAGCAUUUGUUAUGUGAAAGUAGGACAUCGCCAGGC